This 301-nucleotide ribosomal RNA is filed under the name uncultured bacterium. Its description in RNAcentral is "partial 16S ribosomal RNA". It matches the Rfam family "Bacterial small subunit ribosomal RNA", at positions 509 to 807 of the family's 1533-position model. The record is from RNAcentral.
CAGUCGCCGCGGUAAUACGAAGGGGGCUAGCGUUGCUCGGAAUGACUGGGCGUAAAGGGCGCGUAGGCGGCGAUCAAAGUCAGGCGUGAAAUUCCUGGGCUCAACCUGGGGGCUGCGUUUGAUACUUGGUUGCUAGAGUGAGGAAGAGGGUCGUGGAAUUCCCAGUGUAGAGGUGAAAUUCGUAGAUAUUGGGAAGAACACCGGUGGCGAAGGCGGCGACCUGGUCCUUGACUGACGCUGAGGUGCGAAAGCGUGGGGAGCAAACAGGAUUAGAUACCCCCGUAGUCCCUGUCUCUUAUAC